RNAcentral lists this ribosomal RNA (442 nucleotides) under uncultured bacterium. RNAcentral's name for it is "partial 16S ribosomal RNA". It matches the Rfam family "Bacterial small subunit ribosomal RNA", at positions 338 to 795 of the family's 1533-position model. The record is from RNAcentral.
CCUACGGGCGGCAGCAGUAGGGAAUCUUUCACAAUGGGCGAAAGCCUGAUGGAGCAACGCCGCGUGCAGGAUGAAGGCCUUCGGGUUGUAAACUGCUUUUAUAAGCGAGAAAUAUGAUGGUAACUUAUGAAUAAGGAUCGGCUAACUACGUGCCAGAAGCCGCGGUCAUACGUAGGAUCCGAGCAUUAUCCGGAGUGACUGGGUGUAAAGAGUUGCGUAGGUGGCAUAAUAAGUAGCUAGUGAAAUCUGGUGGCUCAACCAUUCAGACUAUUAGCUAAACUGUUAAGCUCGAGACCGUUAGGGGUAACUGGAAUUUCUAGUGUAGGAGUGAAAUCCGUAGAUAUUAGAAGGAACACCAAUAGCGUAGGCAGGUUGCUGGGACGGUUCUGACACUAAGGCACGAAAGCGUAGGGAGCAAACGGGAUUAGAUACCCGUGUAGUC